GACGAACGCUGGCGGCGUGCUUAACACAUGCAAGUCGAACGGAAAGGCCCUGCUUUUGUGGGGUGCUCGAGUGGCGAACGGGUGAGUAACAUGUGAGUAACCUGCCCUUGACUUUGGGAUAACUUCAGGAAACUGGGGCUAAUACCGGAUAGGAGCUCCUGCUGCAUGGUGGGGGUUGGAAAGUUUCGGCGGUUGGGGGUGGGCUCGCGGCUUAUCGGCUUGUUGGUGGGGUGGUGGCUUACCAAGGCUUUGACGGGUAGCCGGCCUGAGAGGGGGACCGGCCACAGUGGGACUGAGAGACGGCCCAGACGCCUACGGGGGGCAGCAGUGGGGAAUAUUGCACAAUGGGCGGAAGCCUGAUGCAGCAACGCCGCGUGCGGGAUGACGGCCUUCGGGUUGUAAACCGCUUUCGCCUGUGACGAAGCGUGAGUGACGGUAAUGGGUAAAGAAGCACCGGCUAACUACGUGCCAGCCGCCGCCGUAA
This 484-nucleotide ribosomal RNA is filed under the name uncultured bacterium. RNAcentral describes it as "partial 16S ribosomal RNA". It matches the Rfam family "Bacterial small subunit ribosomal RNA", at positions 28 to 523 of the family's 1533-position model. The record is from RNAcentral.